This 442-nucleotide long non-coding RNA is filed under the name Dermacentor andersoni. RNAcentral's name for it is "uncharacterized LOC126543758". Lineage: Eukaryota; Metazoa; Arthropoda; Arachnida; Ixodida; Ixodidae. The record is from RNAcentral.
CUUGUCGUGUACCCAAAGCUUCUGGAAAGCAGGACAGAUGAUGGCCGCCUCAUCUUACACGUUCACGAUAAUAUGGUUCUCACUCUGGAAAAGAGCUCUAUAUUGGGAAAGCAUUUACACUUUGUGUCUUCGUCUCUUGAAGAUUCCCAUACAUCCAUACUAAACGGGGAAGAACUACAAAGAAACUUGUAUCAUGAUAUCACGCAUACGUCGUCUCUGAUCGUUGACAGUGCAGGAGGCCGUCUACAAGUGCGAGGAAUUCUCACCCACAAGUUUAGAAUCGCUCCGGUUGUAGUGUCGAGCCGAUCCAGUACUCAAGCUAAUGCACAUGAGGUCGUCGAAAUCCUAGAAGAUUCAGCACAAAGCAGCGACAACAGUAAGCCCUCAAUUAUUGUUGUAGAUCGUCUGUAUGCAGUGGAUAUUGAUCCAUAUUGUUAAAACA